This 253-nucleotide ribosomal RNA is filed under the name uncultured bacterium. RNAcentral describes it as "partial 16S ribosomal RNA". It matches the Rfam family "Bacterial small subunit ribosomal RNA", at positions 524 to 776 of the family's 1533-position model. The record is from RNAcentral.
UACGGGGGGGGCAAGCGUUGUUCGGAAUUACUGGGCGUAAAGGGUUCGUAGGUGGCCAAUUAAGUCAGACGUGAAAUCCCUCAGCUCAACUGGGGAACUGCGUCUGAGACUGGAUGGCUUGAGUGCAGGAGAGGAACGCGGAAUUCCAGGUGUAGCGGUGAAAUGCGUAGAUAUCUGGAGGAAUACCGAUGGCGAAGGCAGCCCCCUGGGAUAACACUGACGCUCAUGCACGAAAGCGUGGGGAGCAAACAGG